GGGUCCUUUGCCCAUUUUUUAAUCAGGUUAUUUUUUUCUUGCUACUGAGUUUGUCAUAUAUUUUGGAUAUUAACCCCAUGGCAGAUGCAUAGCUUGCAAAUACUUUCUCCCAUUCUGUAGGUUAUCUCUUCUCUCUGUUGAUAAAAACAAAAAUCAGCCAGGUGUGGUGGCACACGUCUGUAACUGCAGUUACGUGGGAGGCUGAGGCAGAAGAAUCACUUGAAUCUAGGAGGCAGAGGUUGCAGUGAGCUGAGAUCGCACCACUGUAGUAUCUUAGGAAUUUUAUACUCAAAUAAGCCAUUCACUGUUUAUGUGUGAAAGCAAGAAAAAGUCAUUUUCAGAUAUAUAAGAACUCAUAAAGUAUAAGACCUACAACUUUUUCCUGAAAUUAAAAAGUCUAUAAAAUUUUGCUGCUUUAAUUUUACUCUCUUCUGAAUUUUAUAUUAUUGUUUCUAUGUUUUUAAAGUUCUACAUACAUUUAAACUCCAGAAAACAUAUUGCGCUAAACAGUAUAUAUAUAUAAUAUAUACGUAUAGAUUUUUGCACAUUGAUUUUGUAUCCUGAGACUUUGCUGAAGUUAUCAGCUUAGGGAGCCUUUGGCCUGAGACUAUGGGGUUUUCCAGAUAUAGGAUAUGUCAUCUGCCAACAGGGAUAGUUUAACUUCUUCUCUUCCUAUUUAAAUGAUCUUUAUUUCUUUCUCUUGUCUGAUUGCCUCAUCCAAAAUUUCCAGCACUAUGUUGAAUAGGAGUAGUGAGAGAGGGCAUCUUUGUCUUGUGCUGGUAUUCAAGGGGAAUGCCCUAAAAAGAAUUAUUUCUUAGGCCGGGUGCGGUGGCUCUUCUAAGAAUCAUAACCAGGUCCUCUCAGAUUGUAGCAAGAGACAACAUUCAAAUACAAUGACAGCUUUGUUUCAUACUGACUUUAUUUUUGUUAAAAAUAAAUUCUUAAACAUAAAGAUACUUUACAUGAGGGAAGAUUUAAUAGGAUAUUAUCUAUGCUCUUGGGUUAGUCAUCAUGAAGCAUAUAUAACACAACAUCAGGUAAGAUUAAAAAGAGAGAACUGCAGGUUGCCAAAUUUAAAAGUCUGAUGGAGAGGAAUGGUGGGCUAGAUAAUACAGAUCAACCAUGCCAUUGAGGACAACUACAAAAGCAAAAAUGUCCUCCAGGAAAUUAAAGUAAAAGAAAGAGAUUGUCAGACAAAAGAGAAUUCAUCUUCAGCAGACCAGUCUUAAAGAAAAUAUUAAAUGGUGUUUUUAAGAUUAAAGGAAGCUUGGAGAUGAUGAAAGAAAUGAAGAGCAAAAAUAAGAAUGGUAAACGUAGGUAAAUUAAAAGAAAAGCAACUGUGUAAAACAGCAAUUAUAAUGGAUUGUGGAGUUUUAAAUAUUUAUAUGGAAUUAACAUACCUGACAAUGACAGCCU
Molecule: long non-coding RNA, 1416 nt
Filed under: Homo sapiens (human)
Lineage: Eukaryota; Metazoa; Chordata; Mammalia; Primates; Hominidae
Description: non-protein coding lnc-BNC1-3:1
Source: RNAcentral